CUACGGGCCGCUGCAGUGAGGAAUAUUGCACAAUGGGGGGAACCCUGAUGCAGCAACGCCGCGUGGAGGAUGACGCAUUUCGGUGUGUAAACUCCUUUUAUAUGUCAAGAAAAUGACGGUAGCAUAUGAAUAAGCACCGGCUAACUCCGUGCCAGCAGCCGCGGUAAUACGGGGGGUGCAAGCGUUACUCGGAAUCACUGGGCGGAAAGGACGCGUAGGCGGGUUGGAAAGUCAGGUGUGAAAUCCUACAGCUUAACUGUAGAACUGCACUUGAAACUUCUAAUCUAGAGUAUGGGAGGGGGAGAUGGAAUUAGUGGUGUAGGGGUAAAAUCCGUAGAUAUCACUAGGAAUACCUAAAGCGAAGGCGAUCUCCUGGAACAUUACUGACGCUAAGGCGUGAAAGCGUGGGGAGCAAACAGGAUUAGAUACCCUCGUAGUC
Molecule: ribosomal RNA, 439 nt
Filed under: uncultured bacterium
Lineage: Bacteria
Description: partial 16S ribosomal RNA
Rfam family: Bacterial small subunit ribosomal RNA
Source: RNAcentral